Molecule: transfer RNA, 94 nt
Filed under: Bilophila sp.
Lineage: Bacteria; Pseudomonadati; Thermodesulfobacteriota; Desulfovibrionia; Desulfovibrionales; Desulfovibrionaceae
Also listed under: 1 other name
Description: tRNA-Sec
Rfam family: Selenocysteine transfer RNA
Source: RNAcentral
GGAAACGUUUCGUCACCGGUGUGGCGCCCAGUCUUCAAAACUGGUGUACGGUCGAGAGGUCGUAGGUAGGUUCGACUCCUAUACGUUUCCGCCA